UCUUUAAUAAGCUUAUAUUGAAAGCAUUAAACUCUUAAUUUAAUCAAAGUGAAUUAACUAAUCACUACUAAAGAU
This 75-nucleotide transfer RNA is filed under the name Asthenactis papyraceus. RNAcentral describes it as "tRNA-Lys". The record is from RNAcentral. Lineage: Eukaryota; Metazoa; Echinodermata; Asteroidea; Spinulosida; Pythonasteridae.